Molecule: ribosomal RNA, 700 nt
Filed under: uncultured organism
Description: bacterial SSU rRNA
Rfam family: Bacterial small subunit ribosomal RNA
Source: RNAcentral
GAUUCUGACGCUCAGGCACGAAAGCGUGGGUAGCGAACAGGAUUAGAUACCCUGGUAGUCCACGCCGUAAACGUUGUGCACUAGAUACGGGAGGUACUGAAACCAUCCGUGUCGCAGUAAAAACAUUAAGUGCACCGCCUGGGGAGUACGGUCGCAAGGCUAAAACUCAAAGGAAUUGACGGGGGCUCACACAAGCGGUGGAGCAUGUGGCUUAAUUCGAAGCAACGCGAAGAACCUUAUCCUGGGUUUGACAUGUUUGGAUUAGUUUAUCGAAAGAUAAAUGACGCGGAUUUCCGUGGAACUUACACAGGUGCUGCAUGGCUGUCGUCAGCUCGUGCUGUGAAGUGUUGGGUUAAGUCCCUUAACGAGCGAAACCCCUACCGCUAGUUGCCAGCAUUUAGUUGGGGACUCUAGCGGGACUGCCGGUGUCAAACCGGAGGAAGGUGGGGAUGACGUCAAGUCCUCAUGGCCUUUAUGCCCAGGGCUGCACACGUGCUACAAUGGCAAUUACAAAGCGAAGCGAAACCGCGAGGUAGAGCAAAUCGCAAAAAAAUUGCCCCAGUUCGGAUUGGAGUCUGCAACUCGACUCCAUGAAGGUGGAAUCGCUAGUAAUCGCGUAUCAGCUACGACGCGGUGAUACGUUCCUGAGCCUUGUACACACCGCCCGUCAAGUCAUGGAAGCCGGGAGUACCCGAAGUCG